GCCUGGCUGGCUCAGUUGGUAGAGCAUGCAACUCUUGAUCUCAGGGUUGUGAGUUUGAGCCCCAUGUUAGGUA
Molecule: transfer RNA, 73 nt
Filed under: Canis lupus familiaris (dog)
Lineage: Eukaryota; Metazoa; Chordata; Mammalia; Carnivora; Canidae
Also listed under: 1 other name
Rfam family: tRNA
About the family: Transfer RNA (tRNA) molecules are approximately 80 nucleotides in length. Their secondary structure includes four short double-helical elements and three loops (D, anti-codon, and T loops).
Source: Rfam by way of RNAcentral